This 117-nucleotide ribosomal RNA is filed under the name Acanthosepion pharaonis. The record is from RNAcentral. Lineage: Eukaryota; Metazoa; Mollusca; Cephalopoda; Sepiida; Sepiidae.
UUACGGUCAAAUCACGCUGAAAACACCGGUUCUCGUUCGAUCACCGAAGUUAAGCAUCGUAGAGCCAGGUCAGUACUUAGAUGGGGGGACCGCUUGGGGAGCACCUGGUACUGUAAG